AUAAUGUAUGAGCCGGGAUUAGUUCGGCAAUAGUUCCCGGCGCACUCGUGUAUUUUAAUACGUUCAAUACGAGCGUUUUAUGCACAUCGUUUAUGUUAAGAAACCGAAUAGUAAUGGGGUACAUGCAGAUAUUAAAAAUCCUGCAUCGAAAUUUAAAGCCAACCGCGACGCAGACGUGCAGAUUGACAUCGGGCAAUUUGUACCCACAUACGCACAGAGCGGAAUCAGCCUUUUCGAGUGUGACCUUCCACGGGAGGCUCGAACCUUUUGCGUGUAGCUGUCACGCUCUGUGCUGUAUUCUGCAAUCGCGCAGAGGUAUUACUCUUGACUUCAGAGCGAGAAAUAAAAACGAGGAGCGAGACGAUGGACACAAGUCGCUCUACAAAUACCAGAGUGGCAGCCCAAAGCUAUCAGCUACACGCAAAGUGAAAAAGGCUGGCCGAGAUGUCACCUAUUUGAUUGUUGUUCUCAUCGGGCUUGGAGUGACAGGUGGUCUUCUGUACGUGGUCUUCCAAGAACUAUUUUCUUCCUCCAGUCCAAAUAAAGUCUAUGGAAAAGCAUUCAACAAAGUCAGAUUAGACCCAGAGGUCAUUGGUGCAUUCGGAGAACCAAUCAAGUGUUAUGGUGAGACAACUCGUCGGGGAAGAAGGCAACAGAUCAGUCAUAUGGAGUAUCUGAAGGAUGGACUCAAGCACAUGAGACUCAAGUUUUACAUUGAGGGAUCCGAACCGGGGCUUAAAGGCACAGUGCACUCUGAGUCAAAAGAGAAUCCUGAAACUGGGAAAUAUGAGUUUCGCUACAUAUUUGUGGAUGUAGACACAUACCCAAGGCGGACCAUCAUUGUAGAAGAUAACAGCUAAAACCAAAAUCAAACAACAAAAUGACCGCACGAUUUAGUGAAGCUAUUUGACUGGCGUACAAUUGAUCGUGUCUUUGUGUAUUUUGUAUGUGAUAAAAAUGUGAAAACAGCUGAGGAUACAGAUCUGAUAUUGCUUUACUGAUUAAAAGUGUUUGCAUUAAACAUCAACAAUUACAUGAUUUAAACUUAGGGAAAAGCAAUAUCUUUCUUUUGGGGGUACACCUUUUCGACGUCAACAAAGCCUGAGAUUGUUGUUUUCCCAAUAAUGGCCACAGAACAGGGACAAAGCGUCGACUAAAAACCUGAUAAUCUGCUAUAAUUGUAAAGGCUUAAAUCGGUGUUCUUAAUCGAUUACUGUAGUGCAAUUCCGUCCAAAUCAUUGCUGUAAUUUAAUUGACGUUUUAUGCAACUUAUUAUUGGCAUCUGUACAUUAUUUCUUUAUCCGUCGACCAUAUGUGGCAUUCUGAGACCCUCGCGAAUGUUAGAACUACUCUUGAGAUCAUGCUUGAGAAAGUCUUUCCGCCUCCCGUGAUUCUAUCGCCAUGGCGUGAGUUUGAGCAAUUAUUACUGACAAAACACAACAAGUUAUUUGUAAAUUUAGAAGAAAAGGGCGAGUUUGUUUUCAUCUUAAAACCUAAUUAUUCACACGCAUGACGGUGGUUGAAUCCAGCAAUUUCCGAUUAUCUCUGAAGGCAACAAAUGAAACCCCGCCCACUGGAGUGGGAGGUGUCGAAAGUAGGCACUGGGAUGUGCUGGGUUAACACAAUGCUAAACCAAACUACGAGAUGUGUUACAUUUUUCCUGUUAUUCUAAGUCAUACAUAUUUUACCGAGUAAGUACCAAGUGCUUUCGCGGAAUUACAUUGGAAACGCUUGCAUAUUAGAUGGUUUCCAGGUGUUUUUUUCUGUGGAAUGGUUUGGUAAACGGAAGCGGUUUUCAGUGUUUGUGGCCUGCUUUCUGAGCUUCGGCUCCUCUCUGGAGCUUCCCUGGCAUCUCAUCAGCGCAUAAGAAGCAGGCAAUGAUCGACCUCGGCGGCUAACUAACCAAGUAGUGUACGUUCAUGGCGCUGCAUUAAACGAUGAAAGCUAGCACCCAGUGAUUGAAGUCCCACCAAAAUGGAGCUGUACUGGUAUAUAGUGGUCAUAGUGUUCAUCAUCAUCAAGAUCUUCUUCUAUGUGUGCUGGUACCGCUCGAGACAGAGGCAGCUGGCUGCAUACCUGAGCAACCCCCGCAAUGCCCAGAUAGUCAUCGUUGGAGGGAGGGCGUACCUCCAUCAAAUGUGCGAGCGACAGAGUCAAACCUCACUCUGGCCAAGUUGGUACGGCGUACCUGAUGACCUGUCACAAGAAGAGCCCUCCACGGCGCUGCCACCUGCUGCAUCCUUCUCCCAUCUGGACAUGCCACCGCCAUAUGAUGCCGCCGUGUCCGAAGAGGAUGAUCUGAAACCGCCUCCCUACAGCGAGUGUGCUCACGCCGUCGAGACCGAUGCGCCUCAACCCUCCAAUCGCACGCCUCUCAUCUCCGAAGGAGGCGACUCCAGUAGCUCCAGCGAGGCCCCGCCCCCUUAUUCGCAGUCUCCCCAGCCCCGUACACAAGAAGGCCUUGUGAGCUGCACAGAGGCGCAUUCUGAGAACAUGCCUGUCUAAUUGAAUACCAGUUUGUCUUUUCCUCCAGAUAAACCUUUGCCCCACUGCUGGAGCUAGAGAGAGGACUGCGGGUGGCAUUGGGCUCCCCUGAAGUAUGCUUGGACCCUCCCCCCCAAGGUGCCAGGCCAGACUUUUGGGUAUUUUCCGGGUAUUGUCACCCAUUCCCCGAAAGGAACAUAUUAGGAAUCUUUAUCAAUGGUUUCUGAAGAAUUAUUUGGUUUGUUUAAAAAAAUGAUUUGCGGACCCACUCGGAUAUCUUGAUGAGGUUUAAGUGUGAGUGGUUAAGGGCUUCUACUUUUUUGUUUUUCCCGAAAUACUGCAAAAUGAUAACUUACCAAAAAUAGUUCAGCAUCUUUUUAUAACCUACAUGAAUCUACCACAGGUUGGUCAGAUCAAUUUCUGUUAUCAUUACCAUAAGAUUUGGAUUUAGUUUCACUGCAUUUCAAAGUAAACUUUGCUUGAAGUUUUGCCUCUUGUUUUUUAUACACAUUUUCAGUUUAAAUGUAGUUGACGGUGGUGAAAUUGUCAUCGUUUUGUAUUGUGGCGACAAAUCAAUCGUGGUCUUUUUAAAAUGUAAAGGGAGGCAAUGUGCAAAAAUGUAGCUUAGAAUGCAGACGCAUGAUGUCUGAAUCUAUAUCCAAGCGUCGGUGAUCUAGUGUCUCUUCAUCCAGUUUACCUUCCUGCUUAUUUGGAACACAUCUCAGUUCAAAUUACUCACCAGGUUGGGAUUUUUUGACAGUUGCUUCUUAUUUCUUUUCACCAUAUUUUUUUUGUGGGGGGGGGUCAACUUGUGCAUUAAACUUGUUGAUAUUA
RNA transcript from Syngnathus acus (greater pipefish), 3318 nucleotides. RefSeq lists it as uncharacterized. The transcript has 10 exons. Lineage: Eukaryota; Metazoa; Chordata; Actinopteri; Syngnathiformes; Syngnathidae. The record is from RefSeq and is a predicted model, not a curated record.